RNAcentral lists this transfer-messenger RNA (348 nucleotides) under Propionigenium maris DSM 9537. It matches the Rfam family "transfer-messenger RNA". From Rfam's summary of the family: Bacterial tmRNA, also known as 10Sa RNA or SsrA, is named for its dual tRNA and mRNA-like properties. Lineage: Bacteria; Fusobacteriati; Fusobacteriota; Fusobacteriia; Fusobacteriales; Fusobacteriaceae. The record is from Rfam by way of RNAcentral.
GGGAGUGCUAAGGUUUCGACAGGGUUAUCAGGUUAUAGGUAGCAGGUCAGGUUGAUCGCUGUGAGAGGUCAUUCAUCUAUUUAGAUGGAAACGAUAAUUACGCAUUAGCUGCUUAAUUAAGUAGCUUGCUCCAGGUUUCCGAGGCCGUUUAGGAAUCCUUAAGGAGUAUAACUUAUUUACGGCUUACCUUGUGCACUGUCUCGAUGUACGAGGGACAUUUAAGAGACUGGCAUUAUCUAAUCUUGUCUAUGGGAGUAGAUAGUGUGAGAUUAAAUUGUAGACUAAGCUUGUAGAAGCUUAUGGCGCUGGUAGUUCUGGACACGGGUUCGAUUCCCGUCACUUCCACCA